AACGAACGCUGGCGGCAUGCCUAACACAUGCAAGUCGAACGAUACCUUCGGGUCUAGUGGCGCACGGGUGCGUAACGCGUGGGAACCUGCCUUUAAGUUCGGAAUAACUCAGAGAAAUUUGAGCUAAUACCGGAUAAUGUCUUCGGACCAAGGAUUUAUCGCCUUUAGAUGGGCCCGCGUUGGAUUAGCUAGUUGGUGGGGUAAAGGCCUACCAAGGCGACGAUCCAUAGCUGGUCUGAGAGGAUGAUCAGCCACACUGGGACUGAGACACGGCCCAGACUCCUCCGGGAGGCAGCAGUGGGGAAUAUUGGACAAUGGGCGAAAGCCUGAUCCAGCAAUGCCGCGUGAGUGAUGAAGGCCUUAGGGUUGUAAAGCUCUUUUACCCGAGAUGAUAAUGACAGUAUCGGGAGAAUAAGCUCCGGCUAACUCCGUGCCAGCAGCCGCCGUAA
This 449-nucleotide ribosomal RNA is filed under the name uncultured bacterium. RNAcentral's name for it is "partial 16S ribosomal RNA". It matches the Rfam family "Bacterial small subunit ribosomal RNA", at positions 29 to 523 of the family's 1533-position model. The record is from RNAcentral.